GUGGGGAAUCUUGGACAAUGGGGGAAACCCUGAUCCAGCCAUGCCGCGUGAGUGAUGAAGGCCCUAGGGUUGUAAAACUCUUUCGGCGGGGACGAUAAUGACGGUACCCGCAGAAGAAGCUCCGGCUAACUUCGUGCCAGCAGCCGCGGUAAUACGAAGGGGGCUAGCGUUGUUCGGAAUUACUGGGCGUAAAGCGCGCGCAGGCGGUCCUUCAAGUCAGAGGUGAAAGCCCAGAGCUCAACUCUGGAAUGGCCUUUGAGACUAGAGGACUUGGGUACGGGAGAGGUGAGUGGAAUUCCGAGUGUAGAGGUGAAAUUCGUAGAUAUUCGGAAGAACACCAGUGGCGAAGGCGGCUCACUGGCCCGUUACCGACGCUCAGGCGCGACAGCGUGGGGAGCAAACAGGAUUAGAUACCCCAGUAGUCC
Molecule: ribosomal RNA, 425 nt
Filed under: uncultured bacterium
Lineage: Bacteria
Description: bacterial SSU rRNA
Rfam family: Bacterial small subunit ribosomal RNA
Source: RNAcentral